Molecule: ribosomal RNA, 668 nt
Filed under: Anthocharis sara (Sara's orangetip)
Lineage: Eukaryota; Metazoa; Arthropoda; Insecta; Lepidoptera; Pieridae
Description: partial large subunit ribosomal RNA
Source: RNAcentral
AUUUUUGCCGAAUUCCUUUAUAUUACCUUAUUAUAUUUUUAUAAUAUUUUUAAAAAUAUUUUACUAAUUUUAUCAUUAUUACUAAUUUUUUUUUAUUAAAAAUUAUUUUUUUAUAUAAAUUUAAAUAUAUUAAUUUUAAAUUUUAAAUAAAUAUGAAAUUAUUUAUAAAAAACUAUAAUUUAUAAAAAAUAUAAAUUUUAAAAAUUUCAAAUAUUUAAAUAAUUUUAUUAUAAAAUUUUAAUUUAAAGCUUAUCCCCUAAAAUAUUAAAUUAAAAUUAAUUUUUUUUAAGAAAUAAAAAAAAAUUAAAAAUUAAUUAAAAAUUAAAUUUUUUUCUAAAAAAACUAGAUAUUUUUAAAAACGAUUAACAUUUCAUUUCCAAUUAAUUAUAAAAAAUAAUUAUGCAACAUUAACUUUAUUAAUUAAUUAACUCUUUUAAAUUCGAGAUAUUUUUACCUAAAAACCAUUAUUAAUAAACUCUGAUACACAAGAUACAAUAAAUUAAAUUUACUUUUUUUAAAAUUAUUAUUUCACUAUUUUUCAAAAUUCUUUCACAAUACUAAUUCACUAUAAAUAAUAAAAUUUUUUCUAUUUAAAAUACUUUAACCCCCAUUAUAUAUUUUAUUUAAAAAUUUUUUUUUUAUUUCUUAAUUAUAUUAAUUUACCCCCU